RNAcentral lists this ribosomal RNA (477 nucleotides) under uncultured Thermovirga sp. RNAcentral describes it as "bacterial SSU rRNA". It matches the Rfam family "Bacterial small subunit ribosomal RNA", at positions 913 to 1382 of the family's 1533-position model. The record is from RNAcentral. Lineage: Bacteria; Thermotogati; Synergistota; Synergistia; Synergistales; Thermovirgaceae.
ACGGGGGCCCGCACAAGCGGUGGAGCACGUGGUUUAAUUCGAUGCAAACCGAAGAACCUUACCUGGGUUUGACAUGUACGUGUUACUGAGGUGAAAGCUGAGGGACCACAUCUUCGGAUGAGGAGCGUACACAGGUGCUGCAUGGCUGUCGUCAGCUCGUGUCGUGAGAUGUUGGGUUAAGUCCCGCAACGAGCGCAACCCUUGUCUUUAGUUGCCCAUAUUAAGUUAGGCACUCUAAAGAGACUGCCUCGGUUAACGGGGAGGAAGGUGGGGAUGACGUCAAGUCCUCAUGGCCUUUAUGCCCAGGGCUACACACGUGCUACAAUGGGCGGUACAAUGGGCUGCAACGCCGCGAGGUGGAGCUAAUCCCAUAAAACCGAUCGUAGUCCGGAUCGCAGUCUGCAACUCGACUGCGUGAAGUCGGAAUCGCUAGUAAUCGUGAAUCAGAAUGUCACGGUGAAUACGUUCCCGGGCCUU